This 258-nucleotide ribozyme is filed under the name unclassified sequences. RNAcentral's name for it is "Hairpin ribozyme 2 from viruses-like metatranscriptomes". It matches the Rfam family "Hairpin ribozyme 2 from viruses-like metatranscriptomes". The record is from Rfam by way of RNAcentral.
UAAAUGGGUUAUUGUUGCCCAGGGCUGUCCGUGGUACCGGAAAUAGGCAAUCCGAGUAGUUCCAAGACUGCACCAAUCGGCCGAAUUGCGUAAGACCGACGGCGGUGUACAUCUUUGAGAGUACUGUCGCAAGGGAACGCGCCAAUCCGGAGAAUGGGGUGAAACUCCUCUGAAAUCCGGUGUUGCUUUACACCACGGGAAGCCCAAACAGAAUGAAACACGCAGAUAGUUGUCGCAGUUGCGGAACAUUAAUUCUGA